UACGAAGGGGGCUAGCGUUGUUCGGAUUUACUGGGCGUAAAGCGCACGUAGGCGGAUCGUUAAGUCGGGGGUGAAAUCCUGGAGCUCAACUCCAGAACUGCCUUCGAUACUGGCGAUCUUGAGUCCGGAAGAGGUGAGUGGAACUCCGAGUGUAGAGGUGAAAUUCGUAGAUAUUCGGAAGAACACCAGUGGCGAAGGCGACUUACUGGACACAUAUUGACGCUGAGGUGCGAAAGCGUGGGGAGCAAACAGG
This 253-nucleotide ribosomal RNA is filed under the name uncultured bacterium. RNAcentral's name for it is "partial 16S ribosomal RNA". It matches the Rfam family "Bacterial small subunit ribosomal RNA", at positions 524 to 776 of the family's 1533-position model. The record is from RNAcentral.